RNAcentral lists this ribosomal RNA (314 nucleotides) under uncultured bacterium. Its description in RNAcentral is "bacterial SSU rRNA". It matches the Rfam family "Bacterial small subunit ribosomal RNA", at positions 30 to 342 of the family's 1533-position model. The record is from RNAcentral.
AUUGAACGCUGGCGGCAUGCCUUACACAUGCAAGUCGAACGGCAGCACGGGAGCAAUCCUGGUGGCGAGUGGGCGAACGGGUGAGUAAUAUAUCGGAACGUGCCCAGUCGUGGGGGAUAACGUAGCGAAAGCUACGCUAAUACCGCAUACGAUCUAUGGAUGAAAGCGGGGGAUCGCAAGACCUCGCGCGAUUGGAGCGGCCGAUAUCAGAUUAGGUAGUUGGUGNGGUAAAGGGCUCACCAAGCCGACGAUCUGUAGCUGGUCUGAGAGGACGACCAGCCACACUGGAACUGAGACACGGUCCAGACUCCUAC